GGUUUUUCAAAGAUAAGUUGCUGUCUAAAAUAACUCCCAGAUCUUUUACUGUUGAACUAGUGGUUACAGAACAUCCGUCUAAAUGCAGGUUGAGAUGCUGGAGCUUCUGUAUACUAGUUUUUGGAGGUAACGGAGGUAGUUUUUUCGGAGGUGACGGAGAACACAAACCUCACCCUUUGAGAGUUCUGGAAGAACCACUUUAACAUCGUGAUAUGCCUCAGAAUUAUUGAUCAGGCCUGAAGGACUCGAACCCGGAGUGUCAGUGGAGGAGAAGAUUGUGUCUCUGGAAAAAUCCAUGGGCCUAGAGGUGGAUGAGAGAGAUGUGAACAAGCUCGUCGAGGAGCACUCUCAGGAACUGACGACUAAGGAGUUACAAGAGUAACAAUCGCAGCAGCAUACAGAGGUUCUGCAAGAAAUUGGUUUCGAGGAGGAGCCAGAGUUGAAGGAGGUUAUCUCUACAAGUGAGAUAAAGGAGAUCUUGGGAAUGUGGGAGAGAGUUUCACAAUUCGUGGAAAAGAAACACCCCGAAAAAGUUACAACUGGUCGUGCAUCAGAGCUAUUUAAUGACACUUGCCUAACUCAUUUCCGCAACAUUCUGAAAGGGAGGAAGAAACAAACCUCCUUGGACAGGUUUAAACGGCAUGCAUGUGAAAGUGAGGAAAGUGUGGCGAAAAAGACAAAGAUCAGUGAAGAGAAAAACAGUGAUGAAAAUUAAGCAAAAGUAACACCUUGUCAGGAAUCCCCCUGCCACGCCCCCUUCGGUGGCUGUCAAACCUGGGUGUUUGGGGAAUGCUCUGCUCCUUUUCUCAUGCGUGCCCCGCCCACACGGAGAUGCUCGCAAUCAGGCUUCAUAGAGAACACCUGAGGCUCGUUCACGCACUCAUCACAACGCCUAUACACUGUCAAAAAUCCAACUUGCAAAUUGUUAACUCAGUUUAAAAUUAUAAGUUAGGUGGACAUAUUUUUGAGGACAGUGUUGAGUUUACUCAUAAAAAAGAUUUAACUGCAUGUUUACUACUAUUUAGUCCAAUAAAAAUAAACAAUUAAGUUGGGAAAACGUAACAUUUUGAUUUCUUCAUUCAAGCGAUUCAGUUCCUGAUAUUGCGCAUGCGCAGUCUGUUUCCCUAGCAUUGUGCACAGGGUUUCCCCUCAUCAACUACAUUUUAGAAGGGGCUGGAUGUUCUCUGAUUCAGGUAAGCUUUCUUUAAGUUUUAUUACCUAAAUAAAUUACACAAAUGCUUAACGUAUAAUGUAACGUUGUUUUUGGAAAGACUAUUUUAAGGAAUGUAAUGAUAUUUUGCAAUAAGCUCAGACAGCUAGCAUACUUCAUUUGAAGGUCAUGUUCGGUUCACUUUGCAAAAUUUUAGUGAAAUGUUUUAAAAUACAUGAUUUUUGUGUCAGUUAUAGUUAUUACAAUAACCUGUAUUUUAAUGGAUUGUGUGUUGUGGAUGGAGUUAAUAGAAUCUCUAGUAUUUAAGUCAUUAAAGAAUCAAACGAAAGACAAACACAGUCAUACGCCUAGUCGCCUAAUAAAAUGCGAUCUACCUGAAUGAAGACCCUGAACACAAUCAACAAGGAAAGUCGUUAUUAUUAUUAAAAAGUGGGGAAAAACAGCAUUUUACAUUUCAGUAAGUUAUAGGGUAUUCUUAACCUUGUUAACCGUGUGGUUAUUGCUGAUCUUAGACGUAAAACGUAACGUGCUUUACAUAACAUCCGGUCUAAAAUACAGAAAUAUCAUGAAUUAUCAGCAAAUGUCUGGUAUUUCAGGAGCUUAGUGUUUUUUAGCAUAGCUCUUCUUAGCACCAUUUAACUAGUUCAAUGUAAUUUGUCAUUAUUAUUUAGCUUUGAAUGUGAUUCAUUGUAUAUUCUCAUUUUUUGUAUGUAAUAUUUAUGUUGUGUUUUAAACAAUUAAUGUCAAUUUAGAUGGAAUGUAUUACUGCACAUGUCAAACUGUUUGUUUUUCUUUUUAUAGGUUUGGAAUGCAGAUUUGCCCACAGUAGCAGAGAGGUCCUUUUGAAACACUACAGGCUUCUGCACUAUCGAGGGAGAUCCCGGCAGCAUCCUUGCUUGUAUACUAACUGCAUCGGCACUUUUAAAACUUUAGACGUGUCGUCACGUGUGAAUGGAUAUGUCCAAGAGUGGGUAUGUGAAACGAAUGUGUGGUGAGAAUGGCGGCCGAACAGUGGAGCAUCGGAUUCAAUUGAAACUAACAAUAUAUUUAACUGGUGUCAACAAAUGCCUGUUAAGAAAGUCAUACCCAUUUUGUUAAUGACAAAAAAGAUGUUUUACAGGUUUUUUUUUUUUAUAUCAUAUUCAACAAGGAAUUAUAUCAAAAUAUUAAUUUAAAAAACCCUUUAUUGACACACAUGUAUCAAUAAAAACAAUACAGAAAUGAA
Molecule: long non-coding RNA, 2396 nt
Organism: Silurus meridionalis
Lineage: Eukaryota; Metazoa; Chordata; Actinopteri; Siluriformes; Siluridae
Exons: 2
Source: RefSeq, a predicted model, not a curated record